Molecule: ribosomal RNA, 425 nt
Filed under: uncultured bacterium
Lineage: Bacteria
Description: partial 16S ribosomal RNA
Rfam family: Bacterial small subunit ribosomal RNA
Source: RNAcentral
GUGGGGAAUCUUGCGCAAUGGGCGAAAGCCUGACGCAGCCAUGCCGCGUGGAUGAUGAAGGUCUUAGGAUUGUAAAAUCCUUUCACCGGUGAAGAUAAUGACUGUAGCCGGAGAAGAAGCCCCGGCUAACUUCGUGCCAGCAGCCGCGGUAAUACGAAGGGGGCUAGCGUUGCUCGGAUUUACUGGGCGUAAAGGGCGCGUAGGCGGACAUUUAAGUCAGGGGUGAAAUCCCGGGGCUCAACCUCGGAACUGCCUUUGAUACUGGGUGUCUUGAGUAUGAGAGAGGUGGGUGGAACUCCGAGUGUAGAGGUGAAAUUCGUAGAUAUUCGGAAGAACACCAGUGGCGAAGGCGACACACUGGCUCAUUACUGACGCUGAGGCGCGAAAGCGUGGGGAGCAAACAGGAUUAGAUACCCUAGUAGUCC